CUUGUUGAGUGUCACAAGAGCCUUGUCAUGGAACUUACACCAUAUUUGGAGGAAACCAAGGCGCUUGUGAAUUUCCUUUGACUAUUUACUUUGCCUCGGUGCGGAGUACUCCUCAAAGUAAAACUGUUGUGUUGUGUAAGACUCGUCCAUAGGUUCUGCCUCAUUAUCUAAAUGAUGGAUUGAGGACUCAUCAUUAUUCACUCCUUCCAUCGGUACAGCUUCAUCACCUGAAGUAUAGAGGUUCUCCAUUGGUGGGCAGAACUCAAUGUUGCCACCAACUCUAAUCGAAGUGGAAGCGGGGUUUGGGAGGAGAAAAAUAGAUUGUCCUGCUGUGGGGUGAUCGAACCUAUACUUAUAUAGGCUAUUCUUCUACUGUGACCAAAAACUCUUGGAAUUGAUAAGGUGUUGCAUAUCAAUCCAUCUCGGAGGAAUAGACUUUGAAUGUAGAGGUACAUUGCAUGCUCUCAGAAUUGGGGUCCCAACUCCUCCCACAACCAUUCUUCCUGGUUUCUUAAGUCCCUUAGCCCAUCCUCUGUAACUCAGCAGGUGCUCGAUUAGGAAGAAUGAGACCGAAGUGUCUGUCUGAUCUCCAGCUAGAACUGUGCCAUCUGAUGCUAAACCAAGCAGCUCUUGAAGCGCUGUCUCCAUCAGCUCUAGUUCUCCAUUGACGAAGGUUCCAUUCCUUUCUCUUGCAAAUAGCACACUAGCCAAGGACCUAUGAAAGUAUCUAACCACCGGACUCCUUAUCUCGUUGCUCUUGGUACUAGAGGAUGAAAAUCCAUGCUUAGACCCAAGUGUGGCCCAGAAUGACUGAAGCUCUCUCUUGUCAAAACGAUGACUUGUGACUUUUCCGCUUGGAAAUUCAUACAUCAGCUCGGGAUGCUCUAUUGGAAGCCGAUACUCUACGUCAUACACACAGAACUCCAAGUAUCCCAAAAUUCCGUCUGGCCUGAUUUCAUCGUCCUCUGACUCUCCAUAUAAGAACAAUUCCAUGGAUGAAAGAAACUGGAUGGUCUCUUCCUCAUACGCCUCCAUUGGCUGAAACAUGUGAAUAUUCAGGUUGCAUUGCUUAAACAUAUAGUCUACAUCAUCAUAGAUGUCGAGUCUCUCCAUGGUCUCAGGAUGAGGGUAUCGAGUUCCCAAAAACUCAGCAGCUUGUAGUACUCAUUUUGAGUUGCACACUUCUUUGAUUCAAAAUCAUCAUCGCCUCCUUUCUCUGUUUGAUCAUCUUCCUCUGGUGAAGCCAUUUCUUCCUCGGAGUCUUCAUCUACCAGCUCCAACCUCCUCCCCACAGGCUUCUUCCCUCGAGUGAUAUAUGCCUUGUUCCUCGAGAAUUCCCUUGUAGAGGACUUACUCGACCUUCGGGAUCGAGUAUUUCCAGCUGGAGAGCUGAAGGUCUCCUCUUCUUGCAUCACUUCCUCCUCUUGGCUCGAUUCACUAUGAUCGAUCUCGAAACUUGCUUGUUCUCUCCUGCUCGACCCCAAGGGUGAUAGUUCAGAAGGUCCUCGAGCUGCUGCAUGCGAAGAAGGUGUUUGGUACCUCUUCGAUGGGGAGAGAGCUUUGUUCCGAAUCCUUGACAAAAGCGAGCGCCUGUUCAUCAUCAAGAACUAAGGUGGGAGAAACUCAAAACUAAAAUUCAGUAGAUUAGGAGAUUGAAUGAUGGAGGAAACAAAUGAAUUUGUGAAAAGUUUUUGAUAAGAAAGUGAAGUGAAGGAGAUAAAGAGAGAAUUGUAAGGAUUCGAGAAUGCUUUGGUAUGGGAGGUGGAGAGAUGAGGUUGUUGAGUUCGGGAAUUGCAAUGGGGGGACCAAAGUGAUUAUGGGAGG
Molecule: small RNA, 1824 nt
Filed under: Arabidopsis thaliana (thale cress)
Lineage: Eukaryota; Viridiplantae; Streptophyta; Magnoliopsida; Brassicales; Brassicaceae
Description: ATSL202180
Source: RNAcentral